Molecule: ribosomal RNA, 555 nt
Filed under: Vibrio owensii
Lineage: Bacteria; Pseudomonadati; Pseudomonadota; Gammaproteobacteria; Vibrionales; Vibrionaceae
Description: bacterial SSU rRNA
Rfam family: Bacterial small subunit ribosomal RNA
Source: RNAcentral
AUUAGCUAGUUGGUGAGGUAAUGGCUCACCAAGGCGACGAUCCCUAGCUGGUCUGAGAGGAUGAUCAGCCACACUGGAACUGAGACACGGUCCAGACUCCUACGGGAGGCAGCAGUGGGGAAUAUUGCACAAUGGGCGCAAGCCUGAUGCAGCCAUGCCGCGUGUGUGAAGAAGGCCUUCGGGUUGUAAAGCACUUUCAGUCGUGAGGAAGGUGGUAGUGUUAAUAGCACUAUCAUUUGACGUUAGCGACAGAAGAAGCACCGGCUAACUCCGUGCCAGCAGCCGCGGUAAUACGGAGGGUGCGAGCGUUAAUCGGAAUUACUGGGCGUAAAGCGCAUGCAGGUGGUUUGUUAAGUCAGAUGUGAAAGCCCGGGGCUCAACCUCGGAAUAGCAUUUGAAACUGGCAGACUAGAGUACUGUAGAGGGGGGUAGAAUUUCAGGUGUAGCGGUGAAAUGCGUAGAGAUCUGAAGGAAUACCGGUGGCGAAGGCGGCCCCCUGGACAGAUACUGACACUCAGAUGCGAAAGCGUGGGGAGCAAACAGGAUUAGAUACCC